This 253-nucleotide ribosomal RNA is filed under the name uncultured bacterium. RNAcentral describes it as "partial 16S ribosomal RNA". It matches the Rfam family "Bacterial small subunit ribosomal RNA", at positions 524 to 776 of the family's 1533-position model. The record is from RNAcentral.
UACAGAGGUCCCAAGCGUUGUUCGGAUUCACUGGGCGUAAAGGGUGCGUAGGCGGUCGGGUAAGUCUGAUGUGAAAUCUCAGAGCUCAACUCUGAAACUGCAUUGGAUACUAUUCGGCUUGAGGUCUGGAGGGGGGACUGGAAUUCUCGGUGUGGCAGUGAAAUGCGUAGAUAUCGAGAGGAACACCAAUGGCGAAGGCGAAUCCCUAGACAGAUCCUGACGCUGAGGCACGAAAGCUAGGGGAGCAAACAGG